This 447-nucleotide ribosomal RNA is filed under the name uncultured bacterium. Its description in RNAcentral is "bacterial SSU rRNA". It matches the Rfam family "Bacterial small subunit ribosomal RNA", at positions 28 to 505 of the family's 1533-position model. The record is from RNAcentral.
GAUGAACGCUGGCGGCGUGUCUAAGGCAUGCAAGUCGAACGGGUUUAGACCCGUGGCAAACGGGAGAGUAACACAUUGGUAACUUACCCUGGAGAUGAGGAUAAUACACCGAAAGGUGUAAUAAUACUCAAUGGUCGUGGGGGGACAUAUGUCAUUCCCACGUAAAGUUUUUCGCUCCAGGAGAGGCCUACGUCCUAUCAGCUUGUUGGUGAGGGUAAAAGCCCACCAAGGCUAUGACGGGUACCGGGUGUGAGAGCAUGACCCGGCUCACUGGGACUGAGACACUGCCCAGACUCCUACGGGAGGCUGCAGUCAAGAAUCUUCCCCAAUGCACGAAAGUGUGAGGGAGCGACGCCGCGUGUAUGAAGACGCCCUUCGGGGUGUAAAGUACUUUUUUGUGGGACGAAUUUCUGACGGUACCACAAGAAUAAGGGGCUGCUAACCUCG